ACCACGCUGGGACGUAAGUGCCGAGGGCCGCGGCGUCUGACCUCAUGGCGUAGAGCCUAGCAACAGCGCAGGCUCCCAGCCGAGUCCGUUAUGGCCGCUGCCGCCCUGAAGAGGAUGAGGGGGCCAGCACAAGCGAAACUGCUGCCCGGUUGUAUCACGGACUGAUUCACCGAGCCCAACCGUACUCAACUCACAUAUUUCUACCCCAAAUGUGAAUGCUUUAACACAUGAAAACCAAACCAAACCUUCUAUUUCCCAAAUCAGCACCACCCUCCCUCCCACGAUGAGUACCGAGAAAAGUGGAGGAGCAUCUGUGGCCCCUCAUCCCUCGCCUACUCCUCUGUCUCAAGAGGAAGCUGAUAACAAUGAAGAUCCUAGUAUAGAGGAGGAGGAUCUUCUCAUGCUGAACAGUUCUCCAUCCACAGCCAAAGACACUCUAGACAAUGGCGAUUAUGGAGAACCAGACUAUGACUGGACCACGGGCCCCAGGGACGACGACGAGUCUGAUGACACCUUGGAAGAAAACAGGGGUUACGUGGAAAUUGAACAGUCGGUGAAAUCUUUUAAGAUGCCAUCCUCAAAUAUAGAAGAGGAAGACAGCCAUUUCUUUUUUCAUCUUAUUAUUUUUGCUUUUU
This 635-nucleotide small RNA is filed under the name Pongo abelii (Sumatran orangutan). RNAcentral's name for it is "processed transcript". Lineage: Eukaryota; Metazoa; Chordata; Mammalia; Primates; Hominidae. The record is from RNAcentral.